AUGACUCACCUUCUGCCCUGUACUGAUGCCAGGGCAGAGUGUAGGAAUCUGCUGGUGCUGCUCUGUGGUAACUGCAGCUCUAACUGGAGCCCAGCCUUUUCUUACCAGAGCUGUCUGCAAACGUGCGCUCACCUGUGUCCUUCUUCAUGGAGCACCUACCCUGGCGUGAGAACAGGAUCCAGCAGGGCUUCCCAGUGCCAGUGCAACACACACUCCAGACUGGCCAGACCAGGCCAGCUCCCCUCCAGCUUUACUACACUUGCUAUUCACACGAAACUGGAAAAAUGUACUGUAGAAGGUUGUGCUCUUUCCCUGACUGGGCACUGGGCCUAAACUGCCACUGCCUGGGGGCUGAUAGGCAGUGCGAGUCCCAAAGGAAGCUUACGGCGUGUCACUCUCUCACAGGCGUCCUAUGCUAAGGAAAUGGUGAGAGAAGAACCUGGAAAGAGACCUCACAGAGUCUAAAAAUUGAGAUGUGGAAGAAGCUACUCAGCCAUGUUGUUGAAGCUGAUACCCUGGCUUCUUUCAGGAAACAGCUGGAUGAGAUCUUCAGAUCAGUUAGCUACUGGCAACCAAAUGCCCUAUAUGGGCCUAAAUGGCCUCAUUGGUAACUUUUUAUACAGUAUGUUCUAAUUCAAUGGUGAAGCAGUUUGAAACAAUUUUAAUUGUCUAAUAGUCUCUUUUCUGAGUUUAAAUACAGUAUGUGGUUAAAUAAAGUUUUUUUUUCCUUGAAGCUGCUGAAGUACUAUUUGUUUUUUAUUGUUUUAAUAGAGAAGAAAGUAAUUAAAAACACAAGCCUUCUGUUGUCAUGGUGAUGUAUCUGAUGCUGCCCUGCAGUCAGGGAGCCCAUUUUGCUUGGCUACGUCAUAUCUAUUGAUUUCUGUCGGCCUCUGUGAAAUAUCACCCUCAGCCUAGUGACAAAUACAUUUAGUAUGAAGCCAAAUGUUUUGUGUAGGGCACUCCUUGUCAAAGAGCAGCUAACAGGUGUCCUAAAAUACAUUAUUUUAAAACGUCUACUGUAUAAUAAACAUUGUCCUAUUAUUUCUACUACUUGUUGUUAUUACUACAUUUUAUGGU
This 1077-nucleotide long non-coding RNA is filed under the name Lepisosteus oculatus (spotted gar). RNAcentral describes it as "lncRNA (ENSLOCG00000021626.1)". Lineage: Eukaryota; Metazoa; Chordata; Actinopteri; Semionotiformes; Lepisosteidae. The record is from RNAcentral.